CCGCCUCGAACACCCGACCACGGCAGGAGCGGGGGACCCACAGGUAGAACGCCUGCUCCGGUCUCCGGAACAGGCUAGGGGUCAAGUCACGUCCAGGCGUGACCGGACAUCUCCAGUCCGCACCCGACAGCUCACCUCGCAGGCGCCGGAGAAAGAAUUC
Molecule: small RNA, 160 nt
Filed under: Streptomyces sp.
Lineage: Bacteria; Bacillati; Actinomycetota; Actinomycetes; Kitasatosporales; Streptomycetaceae
Also listed under: 1 other name
Description: c-di-AMP sequence
Rfam family: c-di-AMP riboswitch aptamer (ydaO/yuaA leader)
About the family: This family represents a conserved RNA structure found upstream of the ydaO and yuaA genes in Bacillus subtilis and related genes in other bacteria. The ydaO/yuaA element is thought to act as a genetic "off" switch for the ydaO and yuaA genes in its native state. It is believed that the element may be triggered during osmotic shock leading to activation of ydaO, a predicted amino acid transporter gene, and members of the yuaA-yubG operon which code for KtrA and KtrB K+ transporters.
Source: RNAcentral